RNAcentral lists this transfer RNA (71 nucleotides) under Loxodonta africana (African savanna elephant). It matches the Rfam family "tRNA". Rfam says of the family: Transfer RNA (tRNA) molecules are approximately 80 nucleotides in length. The record is from Rfam by way of RNAcentral. Lineage: Eukaryota; Metazoa; Chordata; Mammalia; Proboscidea; Elephantidae.
GCAAUGAUGGUUCAAUGGUGGAGUUCUUGCCUUCCGUGUGAGAGACCCGGGUUCGAUUCCCAGCCAGGGCA